RNAcentral lists this ribosomal RNA (262 nucleotides) under Escherichia coli. Its description in RNAcentral is "partial 23S ribosomal RNA". It matches the Rfam family "Bacterial large subunit ribosomal RNA", at positions 2687 to 2925 of the family's 2925-position model. Lineage: Bacteria; Pseudomonadati; Pseudomonadota; Gammaproteobacteria; Enterobacterales; Enterobacteriaceae. The record is from RNAcentral.
GAGGACCGGAGUGGACGCAUCACUGGUGUUCGGGUUGUCAUGCCAAUGGCACUGCCCGGUAGCUAAAUGCGGAAGAGAUAAGUGCUGAAAGCAUCUAAGCACGAAACUUGCCCCGAGAUGAGUUCUCCCUGACCCUUUAAGGGUCCUGAAGGAACGUUGAAGACGACGACGUUGAUAGGCCGGGUGUGUAAGCGCAGCGAUGCGUUGAGCUAACCGGUACUAAUGAACCGUGAGGCUUAACCUUACAACGCCGAAGGUGUUU